AGUGAACGCUGGCGGUAGGCCUAACACAUGCAAGUCGAACGGCAGCACAGUAAGAGCUUGCUCUUACGGGUGGCGAGUGGCGGACGGGUGAGGAAUACAUCGGAAUCUACUUUUUCGUGGGGGUUCACGUAGGGAAACUUACUCUAAUACCGCAUACGACCUACGGGUGAAAGCAGGGGAUCUUCGGACCUUGCGCGAUUGAAUGAGCCGAUGUCGGAUUAGCUAGUUGGGGUGGUAAAGGCCCACCAAGGCGACGGUCCGUAGCUGGUCUGAGAGGAUGAUCAGCCACACUGGAACUGAGACACGGUCCAGACUCCUACGGGAGGCAGCAGUGGGGAAUAUUGGACAAUGGGCGCAAGCCUGAUCCAGCCAUACCGCGUGGGUGAAGAAGGCCUUCGGGUUGUAAAGCCCUUUUGUUGGGAAAGAAAAGCAGCAGGUUAAUACCCCGCUGUUCUGACGGUACCCAAAGAAUAAGCACCGGCUAACUUCGUG
Molecule: ribosomal RNA, 492 nt
Filed under: uncultured bacterium
Lineage: Bacteria
Description: partial 16S ribosomal RNA
Rfam family: Bacterial small subunit ribosomal RNA
Source: RNAcentral